Nicotiana tabacum (common tobacco) is the source of this 1385-nucleotide non-coding RNA. NCBI's taxonomy places the organism in Eukaryota, Viridiplantae, Streptophyta, Magnoliopsida, Solanales, Solanaceae. The record is from RefSeq and is a predicted model, not a curated record.
UCCAAACAAGCUCUUAGACUGCAUGGAAUCUAACUCCUUUUAAACCUGAAAUUACAGAACUGCUUCUUUUCAUCAAACCAACCUUCUGUAAACUUUCAACUCCAUUUUCCCUAUUCAAUUUCCCUUCUUCCCACACCGUUUCUUUUCAUCAAACAAAUAUUCUGUAAACUUUCAACACCGUUUUUCUAUUUCAAUUUCCUCAUACCUCUAACUUUAUGAAUUAAUUCCUAUAGCCUCAUCUACAUCUACCUUUUUUUUGUCUAUUUCUUAUUUUGGGGAAGCAAAAAAAUAAAAACGUUCUCUCUAUGAUUACACAAAUUCUGUUUCCUUUGAUGCCAAUGAAGACGUCCGAAGAACACCCUUCCUUGCCCACUGUUUUAGGAAAUAUUGGUAUUCCCUCCAUAAUUGUCGGUGUGGGCUAACAAGGAUGUCAAAAUACAGUCAAAAGAUUGAGGUACAGUCCAAACCUUCUUCAUUAUUAUGUUUUUUCUCCAAAUCAGAACUUAUAAUGUCAAUAUUCUUCGAUAGUAUAUUUUUUCUAAAGCACUUUCAAAAAUCCAAAGAUUCUUCACUACUAUGAUUUUUUCAGAGUUAAUACUAAAUGUGUCGCUGAUAUGGAGUACAAAUUUUUUUUAUUGCUGAUAAUUUUUUCCGAGCAAAGUUCAAGAACAUUGUCUUUAAAUAUUCAAGAAUACUAUAGUUUUUUCCCUAAUCAAUAACUAAGGAGCAAAAGAUCCUAAUUAACUUGCAAAAAUACAAAAAAUCAAGAUGAAGAAUUAAGAUAUAUGGGAUUAAGAAUUAAAAUCAUUCUCUCGGUAACUAGAUCCCUAUGGGACUAUUUUAAGGAGGCUGCUCCUUAAUCAAUUAAUUUAUCAGACCGUGAAUUAAUUGUAGUUGCCUUUUUUCAUUUUAAUUGCUGGGAGGAGAUCUGUGCAUUCGGCACUAUAUAUAUAUGUGUGUGCGCGCGUGUAUGUAAAGUAAAAUCGGUUCAUAUUAAAGGGAGACAGACGGAAAGCGAUACAUGCAGAAACCAAGACCGGGGGCAGCAACUUCGGUUGAUACCGGAAAGCCCCCGAAAAGAAUAUUGCUAAUGAAGACAAACGAAUGCCUGCCACCCGGUAGCAUUAAAUGAAGAAUAUUCUGCAGUAUUAAAUACAUAGUCUGUUAUAGAGAAUUUUGGCAUUCAUAGCUUGCCAUUACACAUUCUUUAAUGACCUCCAUAAUUGUCAUUUAAAAGGGGCUUGAUCAUAGGACCUUGUUCCCUAGGUGCAACUAUAAAUGGUGAUUUCAACAGCCAUUGUAAAGACACAAAUUUUAUGACAAACUUAUGCUACACAUUAUUCUAAGCUCAAUAACACUUUAUUUCUCGUCUAUUGAUAUUCUUA